RNAcentral lists this ribosomal RNA (1507 nucleotides) under Escherichia coli. RNAcentral's name for it is "partial 23S ribosomal RNA". It matches the Rfam family "Bacterial large subunit ribosomal RNA", at positions 376 to 1869 of the family's 2925-position model. Lineage: Bacteria; Pseudomonadati; Pseudomonadota; Gammaproteobacteria; Enterobacterales; Enterobacteriaceae. The record is from RNAcentral.
UACACAAAAAUGCACAUGCUGUGAGCUCGAUGAGUAGGGCGGGACACGUGGUAUCCUGUCUGAAUAUGGGGGGACCAUCCUCCAAGGCUAAAUACUCCUGACUGACCGAUAGUGAACCAGUACCGUGAGGGAAAGGCGAAAAGAACCCCGGCGAGGGGAGUGAAAAAGAACCUGAAACCGUGUACGUACAAGCAGUGGGAGCACAGAGCAAUCUGUGUGACUGCGUACCUUUUGUAUAAUGGGUCAGCGACUUAUAUUCUGUAGCAAGGUUAACCGAAUAGGGGAGCCGAAGGGAAACCGAGUCUUAACUGGGCGUUAAGUUGCAGGGUAUAGACCCGAAACCCGGUGAUCUAGCCAUGGGCAGGUUGAAGGUUGGGUAACACUAACUGGAGGACCGAACCGACUAAUGUUGAAAAAUUAGCGGAUGACUUGUGGCUGGGGGUGAAAGGCCAAUCAAACCGGGAGAUAGCUGGUUCUCCCCGAAAGCUAUUUAGGUAGCGCCUCGUGAAUUCAUCUCCGGGGGUAGAGCACUGUUUCGGCAAGGGGGUCAUCCCGACUUACCAACCCGAUGCAAACUGCGAAUACCGGAGAAUGUUAUCACGGGAGACACACGGCGGGUGCUAACGUCCGUCGUGAAGAGGGAAACAACCCAGACCGCCAGCUAAGGUCCCAAAGUCAUGGUUAAGUGGGAAACGAUGUGGGAAGGCCCAGACAGCCAGGAUGUUGGCUUAGAAGCAGCCAUCAUUUAAAGAAAGCGUAAUAGCUCACUGGUCGAGUCGGCCUGCGCGGAAGAUGUAACGGGGCUAAACCAUGCACCGAAGCUGCGGCAGCGACGCUGAUGCGUUGUUGGGUAGGGGAGCGUUCUGUAAGCCUGCGAAGGUGUGCUGUGAGGCAUGCUGGAGGUAUCAGAAGUGCGAAUGCUGACAUAAGUAACGAUAAAGCGGGUGAAAAGCCCGCUCGCCGGAAGACCAAGGGUUCCUGUCCAACGUUAAUCGGGGCAGGGUGAGUCGACCCCUAAGGCGAGGCCGAAAGGCGUAGUCGAUGGGAAACAGGUUAAUAUUCCUGUACUUGGUGUUACUGCGAAGGGGGGACGGAGAAGGCUAUGUUGGCCGGGCGACGGUUGUCCCGGUUUAAGCGUGUAGGCUGGUUUUCCAGGCAAAUCCGGAAAAUCAAGGCUGAGGCGUGAUGACGAGGCACUACGGUGCUGAAGCAACAAAUGCCCUGCUUCCAGGAAAAGCCUCUAAGCAUCAGGUAACAUCAAAUCGUACCCCAAACCGACACAGGUGGUCAGGUAGAGAAUACCAAGGCGCUUGAGAGAACUCGGGUGAAGGAACUAGGCAAAAUGGUGCCGUAACUUCGGGAGAAGGCACGCUGAUAUGUAGGUGAAGUCCCUCGCGGAUGGAGCUGAAAUCAGUCGAAGAUACCAGCUGGCUGCAACUGUUUAUUAAAAACACAGCACUGUGCAAACACGAAAGUGGACGUAUACGGUGUGACGCCUGCCCGGUGC